UCCAGGUUCGACUCCUGGCUGGCUCGC
RNAcentral lists this non-coding RNA (27 nucleotides) under Macaca fascicularis (crab-eating macaque). RNAcentral also lists the same sequence under 4 other names. The record is from RNAcentral. Lineage: Eukaryota; Metazoa; Chordata; Mammalia; Primates; Cercopithecidae.